This 918-nucleotide long non-coding RNA is filed under the name Mytilus galloprovincialis (Mediterranean mussel). Lineage: Eukaryota; Metazoa; Mollusca; Bivalvia; Mytilida; Mytilidae. The record is from RNAcentral.
CCAGAUUUAUUAUUGUGAUUUUUAAAGAAGGGACAUGAAUACCAGAUUUAUUAUUGUGAUUUUUAAAGAAGGGACAUGAAUGCCAGUAAUUAUUUGAUUUUAAGAAGGGACAUGAAUACCAGAUAUAUUAUUUUGAUUUUUUAAAGAAGGGACAUGAAUGCCAGAUUUAUUAUUGUGAUUUUAAAGAGGGACAUGAAUGCCAGAUUAAUAUUGUGAUUUUUAAAAAAGGACAUGAAUACCAGAUUUAUUAUUGUGAUUUUUAAAGAAGCGGACAUGAAUGCAGAUUUAUUAUUGUGAUUUUUAAAGAAGGGACAUGAUGCCAGAUUAAUUAUUGUGAUUUAAAAAGGGACAUGAAUCCAGAUUUAUUAUUGUGAUUUUUAAAGAAGGGACAUGAAUACCAGAUUAUUAUUGUGAUUUUUAAAGAAGGGACAUGAAUACCAGAUUAAUUAUUUUAUUUUAAAGGGGACAUGAAUACCAGAUUUAUUAUUGUGAUUUUUGAAAAAGGGACAUGAAUACCAGAUAAUUAUUUUGAUUUUUAAAGAAGGGACAUGAAUACCAGAUUUUAUUAUUGUGAUUUUUAAAGAAGGGACAUGAAUGCCAGAUUAAUUAUUGUGAUUUUUAAAGAAGGGACAUGAAUGCCAGAUUUAGUAUUGUGAUUUUUAAAGAAGGGACAUGAAUGCCAGAUUUAGUAUUGUGAUUUUUAAAGAAGGGACAUGAAUGCCAGAUUUAUUAUUGUGAUUUAAGAAAAUACUGCAUAGAUUUUAAGGAAUCAAUAUCACAAUGUACCUCCUUAUCAUUGGGAUUAUUACCCAUUUACAUUAUUAGCAUUAAUAACAAGAAUGUGUCCAAAGUACAGGGAUGCCCAACUAGCACUAUCAUUUUCCAUGUUCAGUGGACCUUGAAAUUGGGGUAAAAAAG